This is a long non-coding RNA of Apis cerana (Asiatic honeybee), 1799 nucleotides long. RefSeq lists it as uncharacterized. Lineage: Eukaryota; Metazoa; Arthropoda; Insecta; Hymenoptera; Apidae. The record is from RefSeq and is a predicted model, not a curated record.
UACCUGUGCCCACGGUCCGAGACCCGAGUCCAACCAACGAACCAACUCGAGUGAAACGGAAUCAGCGGUGGCUCAAGCCCUCUGGCUUUAUUAUUUCGGGGCCAUUGUUAUUAAUUCACCGUGUGGCGUGGCUAUGCGCUAAGAGCGUAAGCUUGUCACGGCCCUUCCACCACCACCACUACCACCCUUCUCUCCCCUCCCUACCUCGUACCGCGGCCACGUUGUUCUUUGCUGAAUUCAUUAAAUCAUCGGCAUUCCACGCGGCACGUGGCCCCGGCCCCCUUUUACAAGCUCUUUCGCUAAAUUAGGAUCCGGCUUGCUCCUCCGCUUCUUUCUCCCCUUCCCCAACCUCGUUCACCCGGAUACAAUGAGUUGGGACAAUUGCCUUUCGAUGUUUGUCGAUUUUCGAAUUUGCCCUCGUUCGAAGUGAACACGCGUUCGCGAAAUCUUCGCGUUUUUCAUCGAAAGAUGAGGUUAUGUUGGGUUAGAUGACGGAUAUUUUGGAAACAGUCGAAUUAGAUAUGAAUCUGACUGACACGCACCAGAUGCCGGGAACGACGAUGAACUAACCAGCAUGCCACGGUAUAUUUGCUUUGAUUUUGCUUAUUAAGCGUGUCUUGUAUAUCUUUAAAUGUGGGAACACUAUGUAAUAUCUACGAUAUUCAAAAAUGUAAACUAAGCACGAGGAUUCUUUUAUGAGGAGAAGGUAUACACAUUGUUAAGAAGAUAGAUAAGAGGAUUAAAAUAAGAUUGAAAUUAAUUUAUGAAGAAUUUUAAAUAAGUGGUUCUCAAGAUAUCUGAUAAUAAAAACUGCACAAACUGUAUUAUUGUGGAUGUAUUUGGAUUCCUUUGGAAAGUUAUGCAACCAAUAUUAAUAUCUUCUUCAAAACAAUUCUAGAAAUUAUUAAACUUGGAACAAAGGAUAUAAAGUGUAUUUUAAUUUGCCAUUAUGGAUAUUUUCAAUGUGAAACUGUACCAUUAUCAAUAUCUUAUUCACUAUUUUGAAAUUGGAAUGAAUGGAAUUAUUUUAGAAAGCUAUACAAUGUUACUAUCUAUUCAAAACAAUUUUGAAAAUGAUUGUAUAAAAUGAUCUUGAGAAUUGUAAUUAUCAUGUUUCCAUUUUACUUUUAUCAAAGGCACUAAUUAUAUAUUUAUUCUUCAAAAUACUUUUGGUUGUAAUUGUCAAUGUUUUCAUUACUUUUAUUAAAGACCAAUAUCACUAUCUAUUUAUUCUUUAAAAUAAUUUUGAAAUUAAUUGCAUAAAAUGGUGUUGAGAAUUGCAAUUAUCAAUAUUUUUAUAUUAUUAAAGACAUCAAUAUUAUCUAUUUAUUCUUCAAAACAAUUUUGAAGAUGAUUAUGUAAAAUGAUCUUGAUAAUUACAAUUGUCAAUUCAAUAUCACUUUUGGAAAUUGGAUAGAAAAGAUGUUUGAGUACAGUUUCUUGCCAAAAUUUUGAAAAAAAUUUUCACUUGAAAGCUAUUCCACAAAACUGCAUAUCGAAGCAUUCGAUAACGAACUAUAAUUUAACUUUUAAAACUUUCAAGUCAAUUCCAUCAUCGAUCGAACAAUGUCCCCAAUAAAUGCUAAUAUCAAAAAUUGUAUUCUUCCAGAAAAAAGAGUAAAUAAAUGACAAUCUCUUAUACUCCUUCGAACAUUCCAAUUGUUACAAAUAUCCUCUUAGAAAAGAGAGCGAAUGAUAACCAUGACAUCAACAUUUUGUCAAAUUUCCUAUACUUUUUUUAUCGCUGAAAGCAAUGUUGCCAAUUGUAAAUACUAUACUUAUGUAUACAUAUGUAUUCU